Molecule: ribosomal RNA, 253 nt
Filed under: uncultured bacterium
Lineage: Bacteria
Description: partial 16S ribosomal RNA
Rfam family: Bacterial small subunit ribosomal RNA
Source: RNAcentral
GACGUAGGGUGCAAGCGUUGUCCGGAUUUACUGGGCGUAAAGGGCGCGUAGGCGGCCUGUUAAGUCGAACGUGAAAUCCCCAGGCUCAACCUGGGAACUGCGUCCGAUACUGGCAGGCUUGAAUCCGGGAGAGGGAUGCGGAAUUCCAGGUGUAGCGGUGAAAUGCGUAGAUAUCUGGAGGAACACCGGUGGCGAAGGCGGCAUCCUGGACCGGUAUUGACGCUGAGGCGCGAAAGCCAGGGGAGCAAACGGG